This 492-nucleotide ribosomal RNA is filed under the name uncultured bacterium. Its description in RNAcentral is "partial 16S ribosomal RNA". It matches the Rfam family "Bacterial small subunit ribosomal RNA", at positions 29 to 507 of the family's 1533-position model. The record is from RNAcentral.
AGUGAACGCUGGCGGUAGGCCUAACACAUGCAAGUCGAACGGCAGCACAGUAAGAGCUUGCUCUUACGGGUGGCGAGUGACGGACGGGUGAGGAAUACAUCGGAAUCUACUUUUUCGUGGGGGAUAACGUAGGGAAACUUACGCUAAUACCGCAUACGACCUACCGGUGAAAGCAGGGGAUCUUCGGACCUUGCGCGAUUGAAUGAGCCGAUGUCGGAUUAGCUAGUUGGCGGGGUAAAGGCCCACCAAGGCGACGAUCCGUAGCUGGUCUGAGAGGAUGAUCAGCCACACUGGAACUGAGACACGGUCCAGACUCCUACGGGAGGCAGCAGUGGGGAAUAUUGGACAAUGGGCGCAAGCCUGAUCCAGCCAUACCGCGUGGGUGAAGAAGGCCUUCGGGUUGUAAAGCCCUUUUGUUGGGAAAGAAAAGCAGCAGGUUAAUACCCCGCUGUUCUGACGGUACCCAAAGAAUAAGCACCGGCUAACUUCGUG